UACGUGCAGGGCUUGGCUGACUAUGGGUGGCGCAUUUGCGGGCUGUGUGCGCCGAGACGCUUGGCGCAGCAGCGUGAACCUGGUUUUGAGGCCAGCUUGCUGGUACCCGAACUUGGGGGAACGCUAUUUGCUCUGGGUGUAUCAAAUGAACAUGGCUUACGGGCUAAGUUGGGUGUCAAGCUGUUUGCCGGUGGCGGUCACAUGUGGACACGUGCUGUGUAGGCGGUUUGAUCUCUGACCAGCCAACAUGUUCUUUCUCGGUGUAAGAGCUGGUCAUCUCUCCGACCCGUCUUGAAACACGGACCAAGGAGUUUAUCGUGUGCGCAAGUCAUUGGGCGUUGAAAACCCAAAGGCGCAAUGAAAGUGAAUGUCUCCGCAAGGAGCUGAUGUGCGAUCCUGGUCUCUUCGGAGGCCAAGCGCAGCAUGGCCCCAUCCUGACUGCUUGCAGUGGGGUGGAGGAAGAGCGUACGCGGUGAGACCCGAAAGAUGGUGAACUAUUCCUGAGCAGGAUGAAGCCAGAGG
This 522-nucleotide ribosomal RNA is filed under the name Pratylenchus goodeyi. RNAcentral's name for it is "partial large subunit ribosomal RNA". It matches the Rfam family "Eukaryotic large subunit ribosomal RNA", at positions 432 to 858 of the family's 3401-position model. The record is from RNAcentral. Lineage: Eukaryota; Metazoa; Nematoda; Chromadorea; Rhabditida; Pratylenchidae.